AUAAAAAUUCAAUUAUAUGCAAUGUAGUAUAACCUCAUCAUCUUCCAAAUGAAGAAUGGACCAUAAAUUAUAUAUCACUGGAACUAAAUCAUGAAUCAAGAUAGGUUCCUUGUGGCAAAUAGUGGCAUAUUAUGUAAAAAUCUUGCUAUCUUCCAAAAUGAAGCGACUGAACCAUAAGACCUAAGUUGUUUGCAACCAAACUGGCCUGACCAUAAAUAGUAUGAUGUGUGACCAGAAAACUUUAAUUACACGCAGUCUUGGUUUCUCGUUCCAAGUUA
Molecule: long non-coding RNA, 278 nt
Filed under: Setaria viridis
Lineage: Eukaryota; Viridiplantae; Streptophyta; Magnoliopsida; Poales; Poaceae
Description: long non-coding RNA (SVIR_LNC003853)
Source: RNAcentral